This 245-nucleotide ribosomal RNA is filed under the name uncultured bacterium. RNAcentral's name for it is "partial 16S ribosomal RNA". It matches the Rfam family "Bacterial small subunit ribosomal RNA", at positions 29 to 304 of the family's 1533-position model. The record is from RNAcentral.
AGCGAACGCUGGCGGCAGGCCUAACACAUGCAAGUCGAACGGAUCCUUCGGGAUUAGUGGCGGACGGGUGAGUAACACGUGGGAACGUGCCUUUUGGUUCGGAACAACUCAGGGAAACUUGAGCUAAUACCGGAUAAGCCCUCGGGGAAGAUUAUCGCCAUUAGAGCGGCCCGCGUCUGAUUAGCUAGUUGGUGGAGGUAAAGGCUCACCAAGGCUACGAUCAGUAGCUGGUCUGAGAGGAUGAU